This 253-nucleotide ribosomal RNA is filed under the name uncultured bacterium. RNAcentral's name for it is "partial 16S ribosomal RNA". It matches the Rfam family "Bacterial small subunit ribosomal RNA", at positions 524 to 776 of the family's 1533-position model. The record is from RNAcentral.
UACGUAGGUGGCGAGCGUUGUCCGGAUUUACUGGGCGUAAAGAGCGCGCAGGCGGUCGUUCAAGUCGAGUGUGAAAGCCCCCGGCUCAACUGGGGAGGGUCACUCGAUACUGAUCGACUCGAAGGCAGGAGAGGGUAGUGGAAUUCCCGGUGUAGCGGUGAAAUGCGUAGAUAUCUGGAGGAACACCGGUGGCGAAGGCGGCAUCCUGGACCGAGAUUGACGCUGAGGCGCGAAAGCCAGGGGAGCAAACGGG